GAAAUGCGAUAAUUAAUGUGAAUUGCAGAAUUCAGUGAAUCAUCGAGUCUUUGAACGCACAUUGCGCCCCCUGGUAUUCCGGGGGGCAUGCCUGUCCGAGCGUCAUUGCUGCCCUCAAGCACGGCUUGUGUGUUGGGCUUCCGUCCCUGGCAACGGGGACGGGCCCAAAAUGCAGUGGCGGCACCAUGUCUGGUCCUCGAGCGUAUGGGGCUUUGUCACCCGCUCCCGUAGGUCCAGCUGGCAGCUAGCCUCGCAACCAAUCUUUUUAACCAGGUUGACCUCGGAUCAGGUAGGGAUACCCGCUGAACUUAAGC
Molecule: unclassified non-coding RNA, 314 nt
Filed under: plant metagenome
Description: partial contains 5.8S ribosomal RNA, internal transcribed spacer 2, and large subunit ribosomal RNA
Rfam family: 5.8S ribosomal RNA (bases 1-105)
Source: RNAcentral